UGGGGAAUAUUGCGCAAUGGGGGAAACCCUGACGCAGCAACGCCGCGUGAAGGAAGAAGGUCUUCGGAUUGUAAACUUUUGUUGGCAGGGAAGAAAAGAUGACAGUACCUGCUGAGGAAGCUCCGGCUAACUACGUGCCAGCAGCCGCGGUAAUACGUAGGGAGCAAGCGUUGUCCGGAAUUACUGGGUGUAAAGGGUGCGUAGGCGGGUAUGCAAGUCAUAUGUGAAAUACCGGGGCUCAACUCCGGGGCUGCAUAAGAAACUGUAUAUCUUGAGUGCAGGAGAGGUAAGCGGAAUUCCUAGUGUAGCGGUGAAAUGCGUAGAUAUUAGGAGGAACACCAGUGGCGAAGGCGGCUUACUGGACUGAAACUGACGCUGAGGCACGAAAGCGUGGGGAGCAAACAGG
This 406-nucleotide ribosomal RNA is filed under the name uncultured bacterium. Its description in RNAcentral is "bacterial SSU rRNA". It matches the Rfam family "Bacterial small subunit ribosomal RNA", at positions 355 to 776 of the family's 1533-position model. The record is from RNAcentral.